Long non-coding RNA from Centruroides sculpturatus (bark scorpion), 395 nucleotides. RefSeq lists it as uncharacterized. The record is from RefSeq and is a predicted model, not a curated record. NCBI's taxonomy places the organism in Eukaryota, Metazoa, Arthropoda, Arachnida, Scorpiones, Buthidae. The transcript is spliced from 2 exons.
UAAAAAAUACGGUCCAAUUUUAUUGAUGUUGGUUGUUUCGUAUGUAUUGUUUCACGUAAACUGCUUUGUAAUAAACAAGAUAUUGGAAAUUUAAGUUCUGGUUUAGAUUGAGUUUCUCCUCCUCUGGCAGAAGCAAUGAAACGACUUAAUGUGUCCCAAAUUCCACCCAGAAAAAUGAAACAGAAUAAGUUUUCAAAUGGAGCAAAUGGAUCGUGAAUGCCCAGAAGUACAGACGAUAAUUUAAAGUAAAUGAAGAAAAUGACAACACCAAAAUAAACAAGAGCAUGGGGCGCAGAAAUGAGUUCGGUCUUCUUGUCGACAAUAAAGAUUAUAGAAGCAGCAAUGCAAGCUUUUGUUGGACUGUAGAAUAAAUAAAUUUAUGAUAAUAUAUCGUU